Molecule: long non-coding RNA, 861 nt
Organism: Thunnus maccoyii (southern bluefin tuna)
Lineage: Eukaryota; Metazoa; Chordata; Actinopteri; Scombriformes; Scombridae
Exons: 2
Source: RefSeq, a predicted model, not a curated record
CAUUAUAUGCCCCUCUUAAAGUAAAAUAUUUACGAUUUGAAGCCGGUUUCGGAAGUCUGGCGUGUUUCCAUCCUGAAGAAUAUCUUCUUGGCCUCCUCCUGUAGCUGCACUCUGACUUGUAAACCGAGGUUUGAUUUCAGUGGCUUGCAGAUCAGAGUUGGUACUGCAGUUUGCACCCUGGAGGCUCUCUGGCACAUCUAAGCAGACAGUGAUAGAUUGGUGAGAUUAGAGAGCAGCGUAUCAGACACAGACUCUUUGAUCCAUCGGCCUGAAAGCGCUCGGGCCUUUUCAAACGAGCCUCCGCCAGUGUGUCCCAGAUCACAUUUCAAAGACGGACAAUGUCUACUGAGAAAGAGCCAUUUAGCCCCGCUGCCACUGUAAUGUAAAAACCAGGUAGCUGCCUCUUUCCUUCCUGACACGGAUUCCUCUCUCAGUGCAUCGAAACACAGUGUUUUCUUUAGAGCAGCAGGGUAUUCUAUUCAGGCGCACAGGCCAUGAAAUAUGGUGCGUAUCUGUGUUUGGCUGCGAGCCAGGCGGAGGGUCGGCAUGCCGGCCAGACGGGACGGUGAUGAAUCGCUCAGAUUUCACUUCAGUUGGAAACAGAACUUCACUCUUCUGGAAGACAGUAAAAUGCUUAACGGCCUCCAGAGCUUUGUAGAAACUCUGUCAUAUUGCUGACAUGACAUUGAGGAGCAAGAAGAAGAAACACAAACGACAAUAACAGCAAUGGUGGACGGCUUCAUGUGUUCAGCGUUGCUCUCUCUUUAUUGUCUACUCUGACAGCUUGUUAAACGUGGCUAUCUGCCACAUUUCUCUACUGAAACUGUUGGAAUCUGCUCGCAAUAAACUAAACGUCAGGAA